RNAcentral lists this small nucleolar RNA (133 nucleotides) under Heterocephalus glaber (naked mole-rat). Its description in RNAcentral is "Small nucleolar RNA SNORA40 (ENSHGLG00100046361.1)". It matches the Rfam family "Small nucleolar RNA SNORA40". Rfam says of the family: The snoRNA ACA 40 belongs to the H/ACA family of snoRNAs and guides the pseudouridylation of 28S rRNA subunit at position U4565. NB This family has a high threshold value to exclude a large number of closely related sequences that do not appear to have conserved H and ACA boxes, and may be pseudogenes. Lineage: Eukaryota; Metazoa; Chordata; Mammalia; Rodentia; Bathyergidae. The record is from RNAcentral.
GGCACUUGUCUGUGUUUCUGUCUUAGCUUGUGCACUAAGACUUAAUGGACAGGUGCAAAAUUAAAAAAAUCCUCUUCUGCAACCCAGAACUCAUUGUUCACUAUGAGUUUUGAUACAUAUAAGAAGGAAUAUU